Molecule: non-coding RNA, 72 nt
Organism: Potamilus streckersoni
Lineage: Eukaryota; Metazoa; Mollusca; Bivalvia; Unionida; Unionidae
Source: the annotation of a GenBank genome assembly
ACUCAGGUGGCCUUGUGGUUAGAGCGUCCGCCUUGGAUGCGGGAGGUCGUGGGUUUCAUCCGCGGCUGAGUC